This 492-nucleotide ribosomal RNA is filed under the name uncultured bacterium. RNAcentral describes it as "partial 16S ribosomal RNA". It matches the Rfam family "Bacterial small subunit ribosomal RNA", at positions 28 to 507 of the family's 1533-position model. The record is from RNAcentral.
GACGAACGCUGGCGGCGUGCUUAACACAUGCAAGUCGAACGGAAAGGCCCCCACUUUUUUGGUGGGGGUGCUCGAGUGGCGAACGGGUGAGUAACACGUGGGCGAUCUGCCCUGUACUUCGGGAUAAGCUUGGGAAACUGGGUCUAUUACCGGAUAGGACCAUGGUUUGGUGUCUCAUGGUGGAAAAAUUUUUGUUUUGGUUCAGGCUGAGCUCGCGGCCUAUUAGCUGGUUGGGUGGGUAAUGGCCUAGCAAGGCGUCGGCGGGUAGCCGGCCUGGGAGGGUGGACGGCCACGUAGGGACUGAGCGACGGCCCAGACUCGUACGGGAGGCAGCGGUGGGGAAGAUUGCAGAAUGGGAGCAAGCCUGAUGCAGCGCGGCCGCGUGGGGGAGGUCUGCCUUCGGGUUGUAAACUCCUUUCGUUAGGGACGAAGCCGCGCCUUUUUUGGGUGUGGUGACGGUACCUUUGUUAAGAAGCACCGGCUAACUACGUG